CGCGGGGUGGAGCAGUUUGGUAGCUCGUUGGGCUCAUAACCCAAAGGUCGUUGGUUCAAAUCCAGCCCCCGCUACCA
This 77-nucleotide transfer RNA is filed under the name Candidatus Cloacimonetes bacterium 4572_55. Its description in RNAcentral is "tRNA-Met". It matches the Rfam family "tRNA". Rfam says of the family: Transfer RNA (tRNA) molecules are approximately 80 nucleotides in length. Their secondary structure includes four short double-helical elements and three loops (D, anti-codon, and T loops). Further hydrogen bonds mediate the characteristic L-shaped molecular structure. tRNAs have two regions of fundamental functional importance: the anti-codon, which is responsible for specific mRNA codon recognition, and the 3' end, to which the tRNAs corresponding amino acid is attached (by aminoacyl-tRNA synthetases). tRNAs cope with the degeneracy of the genetic code in two manners: having more than one tRNA (with a specific anti-codon) for a particular amino acid; and 'wobble' base-pairing, i.e. permitting non-standard base-pairing at the 3rd anti-codon position. RNAcentral also lists the same sequence under 1 other name. Lineage: Bacteria; Pseudomonadati; Candidatus Cloacimonadota. The record is from RNAcentral.